Molecule: non-coding RNA, 54 nt
Organism: Salmo salar (Atlantic salmon)
Lineage: Eukaryota; Metazoa; Chordata; Actinopteri; Salmoniformes; Salmonidae
Source: Rfam
GAAAGCACUAACUGUAAGUCGCUCUGGAUAAGAGCAUCUGCUAAAUGACUAAAA